CAAAAAGAAAGAAGACAAUGACAUCAGUUUAUCUCAAGUAUUUUGAGACUGCUCCGGAUGGAAAGAGUCGGAGGUGCAAGUUUUGUGGACAGAGCUAUUCUAUUGCAACUGCUACAGGCAAUUUGGGAAGGCACCUCAGUAAUCGGCAUCCAGGAUAUGAUAAGUCUGGAGAUUCUGUCACCACUUCAGCACCACAACCCAUCACUGUGAUCAAGAAAGCUCAACCUCAGGGAAAAGCACAUGUGGAUUAUGAUCAUCUGAAUUGGUUGCUCAUUAAGUGGCUUAUCUUAGCUUCUCUUCCUCCUUCAUCCUUGGAGGAAAAGUGGUUGGCAAACUCAUUUAAAUUUCUGAACCCAUCAAUACAACUCUGGUCAGGUGACAAGUACAAAGCAG
RNAcentral lists this unclassified non-coding RNA (393 nucleotides) under Hevea brasiliensis (rubber tree). The record is from RNAcentral. Lineage: Eukaryota; Viridiplantae; Streptophyta; Magnoliopsida; Malpighiales; Euphorbiaceae.